Molecule: ribosomal RNA, 292 nt
Filed under: uncultured bacterium
Lineage: Bacteria
Description: partial 16S ribosomal RNA
Rfam family: Bacterial small subunit ribosomal RNA
Source: RNAcentral
GUGCCAGCCGCCGCGGUAAUACGUAGGGUCCGAGCGUUGUCCGGAGUUACUGGGCGUAAAGCGCGCGCAGGUGGUUCCCUAAGCCCGGCGUGAAAGCCCCCGGCUCAACCGGGGAGGGUCGUCGGGGACUGGAGAACUUGAGGGCGGCAGGGGCUGGUGGAAUCCCCGGUGUAGUGGUGAAAUGCGUAGAGAUCGGGGGGAACACCCGUGGCGAAGGCGGCCAGCUGGGCCGACCCUGACACUGAGGCGCGAAGGCGUGGGGAGCGAACGGGAUUAGAUACCCUUGUAGUCC